AAAAAAAUAGAACUGCAUGGGCCUUGCUCCUCUGCGUGGAUGAAUGUGGACUACCUAAAAUCCAGCUGAUAACUUGAUUUGACUUUGUUAGUGAUUUUACAAAUUGAUCAGACCUUAUAUGAUUAUAUAAUGAAAUAAAUAAUUUAAUGUGUCCUCUUGUAAAGCAACUUAUUUUAUACUUCCAAAUACAUUCAUCUCUUUCUUGCUACAUAAAAAUAAGCUUUUAAUAAAUAUCUCUUGAGUCUGAUAACCUUCACACAGUCAUUAACCGACAGGAUGGAGGGCUGUGAUUAGCUGCACAUUGGCACAGCCACAUUCCUAGAUUCCUAAGGUUCACUCAGUUGGAUAAAUGUAUGCCUGGCUGACUCAGAUUAACUACCUGGUUAUAGCGUUCCUCCACAGCAUGGUCUUUUGCCAUAAAUUGACUGUGGUUUGAGGGGGUGGUGCUCUAAAGCUCCGUGUCCAGCAGAUUUUUGCCUGUCUGCUUCAUUGGGUCCUGUCCAUUGCAGAAGCUGUCUAUGUGUGUUUGUUUUGUCUUCCAGUCUGCUGGACCAUCUCUAGCUGUGAUCAGCCAAGGUCAAAGAUGAAGGUUUUCGUACAACACUGUGAUAUGCAAGACUGAUGUCCUCAUUUGUUGAGAAAGAUGAGAGUAUCAUGAAGAAAGGAGGAAGGGAAAACAAAAAACAAAAAAUCACUCCAGAAGGGAAGGUGUCCAUAUUGUUAUCCUAUAAUAAAUUCAACUGAACCAACACAUUCUCACUUCCACCUUGUCAUGUACAGUAUGGACACUUGAUCAGGACCACUUGGCGCCACUUUUUAAAACACUGGGUACCCCUUCAGUGUAAUUUUCCAACGUGCAGGGUUCCAUUGCUUUCAAUGAGAAAACUUUGUAAUCAAAACAGAGAUUCUAAUGGCAUUUUAUUGUCAUAAAACUAUACGCCUAUAUUGGGUUAUAAUUUUGUCAUUAUGACAUAUGCUGAGGUAUGAUUUUCAACAGCCACAAUCAUUUUAUUUCCAUUACACUAUUUAGAUAUUUUUGAGCAUUUAACCCAACCCUCACUUCUAAACCUAACCAUUUCUCAAUAUAAAACAAUAGAAAACGAUUGAAAGCAACAUUAUAUGUCGAAAAACAAUGCUAAAGAUAUCACAGAGCAUUACAAAGUGACUCCAAAGGGGUCCUGACCAAUCAUCCACAUGUGUUGAGUUGGGAUUAAGAAAGUGUUGGUCGAACCAGUGGAUGUUGUAUAAAUUCUCAGUGGUUAAAGUAAAUAAAGGAAUGAAAUCUGUCUCUUUUCCUUUAUAU
Long non-coding RNA from Cyprinus carpio (common carp), 1303 nucleotides. Lineage: Eukaryota; Metazoa; Chordata; Actinopteri; Cypriniformes; Cyprinidae. The record is from Ensembl.